Long non-coding RNA from Gopherus evgoodei (Goodes thornscrub tortoise), 420 nucleotides. RefSeq lists it as uncharacterized. The transcript has 3 exons. NCBI's taxonomy places the organism in Eukaryota, Metazoa, Chordata, Testudines, Testudinidae. The record is from RefSeq and is a predicted model, not a curated record.
GCAUCUGACACUGGCCACACUCAGAGGACAAGAUACUGGGCCAGAUGGACCAUUUAUUUGCCCCAGUAUGGCUGUGCUUAUGUUCUUAAGGGAGAGAGAUGAAGGUAUUUGGAGAAAAAGAUGAAUUUUCAACAUCGUUUGAAAAGGCAGACAGGGCAAAUGAUUGCUCAACAAUAAAGAACUGACCUUCCCAAAUACUGGUACUGCUGGGACAUAUAGUGUAAGCAUAAUGUGACCUGGUGCUGUCUGCAUAUGUAAGCUACUACAGCUUGGUUGAGGAACUAUUGUGUUGUAACACUAUCCUCUAACACGGUAGGACUUGCUGUGUAAUUCAAAAACUAAAGAGGUAAUGUAAAUAGCUUAUUGACUGCACUUAUACUCUUUGUCUGAAGAUGGCAGCAUAUCCCUGACUGUAUGAAC